GUUUCCGUUUAAACCAUAGCUAAGAGGGCCAGCAUAUAGGUAGUGGUUAGUGUGGGGAAAGGGCAUUAAUCCAUUAGGUGGAGCAGCUGGCCAAGCAACAGGAUUUUGAUGAUAGUAAUUCAGUGGAGGAGCUUGAAAGACUGGAAAUUGUAAAUUUUGGUUUUGCAUAGGCGGAAACAUGCCUUGAUGUUGCGAACCUAUAUCAACAGUUGGUAUUCCAUUAUCAGUAUUU
This 232-nucleotide unclassified non-coding RNA is filed under the name Hevea brasiliensis (rubber tree). Lineage: Eukaryota; Viridiplantae; Streptophyta; Magnoliopsida; Malpighiales; Euphorbiaceae. The record is from RNAcentral.